UUAACCGCCCACUCCUUGAUGA
RNAcentral lists this non-coding RNA (22 nucleotides) under Rattus norvegicus (Norway rat). The record is from RNAcentral. Lineage: Eukaryota; Metazoa; Chordata; Mammalia; Rodentia; Muridae.